AUCGUUCAAUUUGCCUUAGGCAAAUCGGAAGUAGGUAUACCCGAAGGAACGCGGA
Molecule: non-coding RNA, 55 nt
Submitted as: unclassified sequences
Source: Rfam